AGAGUUUGAUCCUGGCUCAGAACGAACGCUGGCGGCAUGCUUAACACAUGCAAGUCGAACGAUGGCUUCGGCCAUAGUGGCGCACGGGUGAGUAACGCGUGGGAACCUACCUCCUGGUUCGGAAUAACCUCGGGAAACUGAGGCUAAUACCGGAUGAGCCCGCAAGGGGAAAGAUUUAUCGCCAGAAGAGGGGCCCGCGU
This 200-nucleotide ribosomal RNA is filed under the name uncultured bacterium. Its description in RNAcentral is "partial 16S ribosomal RNA". It matches the Rfam family "Bacterial small subunit ribosomal RNA", at positions 8 to 236 of the family's 1533-position model. The record is from RNAcentral.